This is a non-coding RNA of Carassius auratus (goldfish), 534 nucleotides long. The record is from the annotation of a RefSeq genome assembly. NCBI's taxonomy places the organism in Eukaryota, Metazoa, Chordata, Actinopteri, Cypriniformes, Cyprinidae.
CUGAGCGACUGUCUCCAGGUAAAUGAUGUGAGUGUGUUUGCAUAUUGAUCAGAUGCUUCAGUGCUCUGAGAGUGUUUAUAGUGCUGUGAGUUUAACACUUCAUCACUGACACACACAACAAUCUUCAUCAACAUGACCUUCAUCAUCAUCUUCAUCUGGACUCUCACAUACUGCUUUAUACUACAAGGGUGUAAAGCUCAGAUCACAGUCACUCAGACUCCUUCAGCUAAACCUGUCACACCAGGAGAAAAUGUUGUGAUGAGCUGUAAACUCAGUACUCCUACACCCUGCAGCCCAGACACCUGUGUGUCCUGGUACUUACAGAAACCUGGAGAAGCUCCUAAACUCCUGAUUUAUUAUGUAUACCAUCUCCAGUCAGGAACUCCAUCUAGAUUCAGUGGCAGUGGAUCUGGGACUGAUUUCACUCUGACCAUCAGUGGAGUCCAGACUGAAGAUGCUGGACAUUAUUACUGUCAGAGUUACCACUACAUCAACAGUAUACGUAUGUUCACACAGUGAUUGUGAGUGGUACAA